This 374-nucleotide ribosomal RNA is filed under the name uncultured prokaryote. RNAcentral describes it as "bacterial SSU rRNA". It matches the Rfam family "Bacterial small subunit ribosomal RNA", at positions 524 to 896 of the family's 1533-position model. The record is from RNAcentral.
UACGAGAGGUGCAAGCGUUAUUCGGAAUUACUGGGCGUAAAGGGUGUGUAGGCGGCUUGUCAAGUCCAUCGUUAAAUCUCUCGGCCUAACUGAGAGUUCGCGGUGGAAACUGACUUGCUAGAGUGAGGAAGAGAGAGGUGGAAUUCUCGGAGUAGCGGUAAAAUGCGUAGAUCUCGAGAAGAACACCGAUGGCGAAGGCAGCCUCUUGGUCCUUUUCUGACGCUGAGACACGAAAGCGUGGGGAGCAAACAGGAUUAGAUACCCUGGUAGUCCACGCUGUAAACGAUGAUCACUAGACGUUAAUUCCGUUUUAGGAAUUGGUGUCGUAGCUAACGCGUUAAGUGAUCCGCCUGGGGACUACGGUCGCAAGACUA